Molecule: ribosomal RNA, 920 nt
Filed under: uncultured bacterium
Lineage: Bacteria
Description: bacterial SSU rRNA
Rfam family: Bacterial small subunit ribosomal RNA
Source: RNAcentral
ACGCUAGCUACAGGCUUAACACAUGCAAGUCGAGGGGAAACGACAUUGAAGCUUGCUUCGAUGGGCGUCGACCGGCGCACGGGUGAGUAACGCGUAUCCAACCUGCCUCUGACUAAGGGAUAACCCGGCGAAAGUCGGACUAAUACCUUAUGAGGUUUUCAGCAGACAUCUAACGAAAACGAAAGAUUUAUCGGUCAGUGAUGGGGAUGCGUCUGAUUAGCUUGUUGGCGGGGUAACGGCCCACCAAGGCAACGAUCAGUAGGGGUUCUGAGAGGAAGGUCCCCCACAUUGGAACUGAGACACGGUCCAAACUCCUACGGGAGGCAGCAGUGAGGAAUAUUGGUCAAUGGGCGAGAGCCUGAACCAGCCAAGUAGCGUGCAGGAUGACGGCCCUAUGGGUUGUAAACUGCUUUUAUGUGGGGAUAAAGUGAGCUACGUGUAGUUUAUUGCAGGUACCACAUGAAUAAGGACCGGCUAAUUCCGUGCCAGCAGCCGCGGUAAUACGGAAGGUCCAGGCGUUAUCCGGAUUUAUUGGGUUUAAAGGGAGCGUAGGCCGUGGAUUAAGCGUGUUGUGAAAUGUAGACGCUCAACGUCUGAAUUGCAGCGCGAACUGGUUCACUUGAGUAUGCACAACGUAGGCGGAAUUCGUCGUGUAGCGGUGAAAUGCUUAGAUAUGACGAAGAACUCCGAUUGCGAAGGCAGCUUACGGGAGCACAACUGACGCUGAAGCUCGAAGGUGCGGGUAUCAAACAGGAUUAGAUACCCUGGUAGUCCGCACAGUAAACGAUGGAUGCCCGUUGUUAGUUCACUUAUGAAUUAGCGACCAAGCGAAAGCAUUAAGCAUCCCACCUGGGGAGUACGCCGGCAACGGUGAAACUCAAAGGAAUUGACGGGGGCCCGCACAAGCGGAGGAACAUGUG